RNAcentral lists this ribosomal RNA (459 nucleotides) under uncultured bacterium. RNAcentral describes it as "partial 16S ribosomal RNA". It matches the Rfam family "Bacterial small subunit ribosomal RNA", at positions 376 to 795 of the family's 1533-position model. The record is from RNAcentral.
CCUCCUUGUGUCCUCCUUUCUUCCUCUUUUUCCCUUUUCUCCGUUCUGCCCCCGCCCCGUCGCGUGCGGGAAGACUGCCCUAUGGGUUGUAAACCUCUUUUAUAAGGGAAGAAUAAUGACUACGUGUAGUCAGAUGCCCGUACCUUAUGAAUAAGCAUCGGCUAACUCCGUGCCAGCAGCCGCGGUAAUACGGAGGAUGCGAGCGUUAUCCGGAUUUAUUGGGUUUAAAGGGUGCGUAGGCGGUAUUUUAAGUUAGUGGUAAAACGUCGGGGCUUCACCUUGAUUGGCCAUUAAAACUGGAGUACUAGAUUACAGACGAGGUAGGCGGAAUAAGUUAAGUAGCGGUGAAAUGCUUAGAUAUAACUUAGAACCCCGAUAGCGAAGGCAGCUUACCAGACUGUUACUGACGCUGAAGCACGAGAGCGUGGGUAGCGAACAGGAUUAGAUACCCCAGUAGUC